AUUCACAAAAAAAUAUUGAAAAAGAUGAUAUCUCAGAUAAAGUUACCAUAAAGGUUAAGGUUGAAGAUGAGGGAUAUCAUGAUAUCGUAAUAGAUUGGUCCGAUGAAAGUUUUCCAUACAAAGAUCAACAAGUUAUUAACCAGCUUUCGUCGAUAAUCGGGAUUCCAGUUCAAUUAAUCAGGAUGACUAUCUUAAUUUAUGCGCCUAAUAAUUGGUUUGAUUUGCGAAAUAUUGAACAUAAAUCAUCUGAUCCUUGGAUAUACGGACCUGGUGAGGAUGAGCCUAAUGCAAUGUCGUGUUUCUUCACCAGAAAGAACUGUUUGGGAAGAUUGAAUGAUGGUGAUCGUUUUGUCUUGCGUACUGAUUUGUGGCCG
Non-coding RNA from Tetranychus urticae (two-spotted spider mite), 374 nucleotides. The record is from RefSeq and is a predicted model, not a curated record. Lineage: Eukaryota; Metazoa; Arthropoda; Arachnida; Trombidiformes; Tetranychidae.